GUUAAAAAGCUCGUAGUUGGAUUUCUGUUGAGGUUGGGUGGUCCCUUCUCCGAAGGCGUAUUUGCUUCGAUCUCGGCAUCCUUCUGAAAGACUGUGCUGCCCUUCAUUGAGUGGUCAGGAUUUCAGGACUUUUACUUUGAGGAAAUUAGAGUGUUUACGGCAGGCAGGCGCCUUGAAUAUAUUAGCAUGGAAUAAUGAUAUAAGACCUUGGUUUUAUUUUGUUGGUUUCUAAAGCUAAGGUAAUGAUUAACAGGGAUAUUUGGGGGUAUUUGUAUUACACGGUCAGAGGUGGAAUUCUUGGAUUCGUGUACGACAAACUACUGCGAAAGCAUUUACCAAGGAUGUUUUCAUUGAUCAAGAACGAAAGUGUGGGGAUCGAAGAUGAUUAGAUACCGUCGUAGUCUACACCAUAAACUAUGCCGACUAGAGAUUGGAGGUUGUCUUCUUAUAACUCCUUCAGCACCUUUCGAGAAAUCAAAGUUUUUGGGUUCCGGGGGGAGUAUGGUCGCAAGGCUGGAACUUAAAGGAAUUGACGGAAGGGCACCACCAGGAGUGGAGCCUGCGGCUUAAUUUGACUCAACACGGGAAAACUUACCAGGUCCAGACAUAACGAGGAUUGACAGAUUGAUAGCUCUUUCUUGAUUUUAUGGGUGGUGGUGCAUGGCCGUUCUUAGUUGGUGGAGUGAUUUGUCUGGUUAAUUCCGUUAACGAA
Molecule: ribosomal RNA, 712 nt
Filed under: uncultured marine alveolate
Lineage: Eukaryota
Description: SSU rRNA
Rfam family: Eukaryotic small subunit ribosomal RNA
Source: RNAcentral